GUGUCAGUGGUGUGACUGUAGUGACUCAGAAUCCUCCAGUUCUCACAGUGAAUAAAGGACAGAAAGUCACUCUCAACUGUAAUCUGGGGACAGGUCCUUAUGAUAAAGCAGUAUGGUAUAAACAGACUCCAGGAGGAGUUCCUCAACACUGAGGAGGUUUCUGUACGGCUGAACAUAUGAAAUGUAUCACUGUGGUAUUCGGACAAGGAACAAAACUGAUGGUGUCUGAUUCUGCUGUUCCUCCUCCUGUUGUGAACAUCCUCCCAUCCAGUGAAGAUCAAAGCUCCAGUAAAAUCACUCUGGUGUGUCUGAUCAAUGAUAUGCCCAUGGGUUUUGCUGAUGUGCGUUGGCUUGUCAAUGGAAUCUCAGUUACUGAUGGUGUCUUCACAAGCUCUGCUGAACAACAGCCUAAUGAGAAAUUCAAAAUGAGCAGUUAUUUCACCACUGAGAGCUCAGAGUGGGAGAAAGACAAAGAUCUGACAUGUGAAGUGACUGUCGGCUCAAGAGCCACUGCCAGAAACAUCAAGAAAUCUCAGUGCAGUGACUGAAAUCAAAUAUGUUUUUGUCUUGUCUUGAUUUUUGUGAUAGUGAAUGAUAGUUUCUGACAUGUAGAGUUGUAGAAAUUAUUCAUCUGGAAAUUAUUCAAAAUAGUUUAAGGGUCUUAGUGACUUGAUUUGUGUAAUUUGGCUUUUGUUUUGUUAAAAGAUCUAUGCGCA
Molecule: non-coding RNA, 716 nt
Organism: Myxocyprinus asiaticus (Chinese sucker)
Lineage: Eukaryota; Metazoa; Chordata; Actinopteri; Cypriniformes; Catostomidae
Source: the annotation of a RefSeq genome assembly